Molecule: microRNA precursor, 96 nt
Filed under: Nicotiana attenuata
Lineage: Eukaryota; Viridiplantae; Streptophyta; Magnoliopsida; Solanales; Solanaceae
Description: MIR6152 microRNA precursor family
Rfam family: MIR6152 microRNA precursor family
Source: Rfam by way of RNAcentral
UGGACAGAUUAUUGUAUUGACUGUAUUCACGACGUGAAAUAGGGGAUUAAACUGUUUUUAAAACGGAAAGUGAAUCAAUUAACAUAAUAGACUCCU